This 21-nucleotide small RNA is filed under the name Arabidopsis thaliana (thale cress). RNAcentral describes it as "ATSL130750". The record is from RNAcentral. Lineage: Eukaryota; Viridiplantae; Streptophyta; Magnoliopsida; Brassicales; Brassicaceae.
AAAAAAUUCAAGAAGAAGAAA